GAGUUUGAUCAUGGCUCAGAUUGAACGCUGGCGGCAGGCCUAACACAUGCAAGUCGGGCGGUAGAGAGAAGCUUGCUUCUCUUGAGAGCGGCGGACGGGUGAGUAAUGCCUAGGAAUCUGCCUGGUAGUGGGGGAUAACGCUCGGAAACGGACGCUAAUACCGCAUACGUCCUACGGGAGAAAGCAGGGGACCUUCGGGCCUUGCGCUAUCAGAUGAGCCUAGGUCGGAUUAGCUAGUUGGUGAGGUAAUGGCUCACCAAGGCGACGAUCCGUAACUGGUCUGAGAGGAUGAUCAGUCACACUGGAACUGAGACACGGUCCAGGCUCCUACGGGAGGCAGCAGUGGGGAAUAUUGGACAAUGGGCGAAAGCCUGAUCCAGCCAUGCCGCGUGUGUGAAGAAGGUCUUCGGAUUGUAAAGCACUUUAAGUUGGGAGGAAGGGCAGUAAAUUAAUACUUUGCUGUUUUGACGUUACCGACAGAAUAAGCACCGGCUAACUCUGUGCCAGCCG
This 510-nucleotide ribosomal RNA is filed under the name uncultured bacterium. RNAcentral's name for it is "bacterial SSU rRNA". It matches the Rfam family "Bacterial small subunit ribosomal RNA", at positions 9 to 514 of the family's 1533-position model. The record is from RNAcentral.